This 270-nucleotide ribosomal RNA is filed under the name uncultured bacterium. RNAcentral describes it as "partial 16S ribosomal RNA". It matches the Rfam family "Bacterial small subunit ribosomal RNA", at positions 524 to 794 of the family's 1533-position model. The record is from RNAcentral.
UACGUAGGGUGCGAGCGUUAAUCGGAAUUACUGGGCGUAAAGCGUGCGCAGGCGGUUUUGUAAGCCAGAUGUGAAAUCCCCGGGCUUAACCUGGGAAUGGCAUUUGGGACUGCAAGGCUCGAGUGCGGCAGAGGAGACUGGAAUUCCUGGUGUAGCAGUGAAAUGCGUAGAUAUCAGGAGGAACACCGAUGGCGAAGGCAGGUCUCUGGGCUGACACUGACGCUCAUGCACGAAAGCGUGGGGAGCAAACAGGAUACGAAACCGGGUAGU